GCCGGCGUGAUGGAAUUGGCAGACGUACUGGACUCAAAAUCCAGCGGUGGCGACACCGUACCGGUUCGACCCCGGUCGCCGGCA
RNAcentral lists this transfer RNA (84 nucleotides) under Oscillospiraceae bacterium. Its description in RNAcentral is "tRNA-Leu". It matches the Rfam family "tRNA". From Rfam's summary of the family: Transfer RNA (tRNA) molecules are approximately 80 nucleotides in length. Lineage: Bacteria; Bacillati; Bacillota; Clostridia; Eubacteriales; Oscillospiraceae. The record is from RNAcentral.